RNAcentral lists this transfer RNA (74 nucleotides) under Dipodomys ordii (Ord's kangaroo rat). It matches the Rfam family "tRNA". From Rfam's summary of the family: Transfer RNA (tRNA) molecules are approximately 80 nucleotides in length. The record is from Rfam by way of RNAcentral. Lineage: Eukaryota; Metazoa; Chordata; Mammalia; Rodentia; Heteromyidae.
GGUGGAAUAGCUCAAGUGGUAGAGCACCUGGCUAGCAAGCAUGAGGUUCCCGAGUUCAAAUGUCAGUACCACCA